Molecule: ribosomal RNA, 408 nt
Filed under: uncultured bacterium
Lineage: Bacteria
Description: partial 16S ribosomal RNA
Rfam family: Bacterial small subunit ribosomal RNA
Source: RNAcentral
GACGAACGCUGGCGGCGUGCCUAACACAUGCAAGUCGAACGGAGUGGCGAACGGGUGAGUAACACGUGGGUGAUCUGCUUUGCACUUCGGGAUACGCUUGGGAAACUGGGUCUAAUACCGGAUAGUGCAAGAUGAGCUCGCGGCCUAUCAGCUUGUUGGUGGGGUAAUGGCCUACCAAGGCGUCGACGGGUAGCCGGCCUGAGAGGGUGUACGGCCACAUUGGGACUGGGAUACGGCCCAGAUGCCUACGGGAGGCAGCAGGGGGGAAUAUUGCGCAAUGGGCGGAAGCAUGAUGCAGGGACGCCGCGUGGGGAAUGAAGGCCUUCGGGUUGUAAACUCCUUUAGACAGGGACGCGGUACCUGUAUAAGAAGCACCGGCUAACUACGUGCCAGCAGCCGCGGUAAUAC